GUCUGCUCGUAAACACCCACCCGCAUUUACUCCAGUUAAUCCGUGAACAUGGCGCUUGCAACAAUGCCGAAAUAUCGGAAACUCGAUAAAAUGAAUAAACAUGGUAAAUAUCCCGUUAUAAGUUCUAAUAAUAAUGAUGAUACAGGUCUCCGAUUGGGAGAAACUGACGAAAUAGUUGCUGAACUCUUUGUUCUAGCUUCAGUGGUAUUUCGAUACUUCGGGGGUAUUUAAUGCGUCAAAGACCGAAGUGAACAGAUUGAAUAGCAGAGUGACCAUUCACAACAUAUGUACGAAAGGUAUAGAAAUAUUUCAAUACUUUUAACAUCAGCUUCGGUGAAGGCCAAUUAAAAGAUGCCAAGGGUAAAUUUCGACAUUAAUUUUGAGCAUAGAAACUAUUCGAUAAUGUCCCUAUAUAUUUGUUUCACACGUAGUCAAAGUCAGUCAGAAAGUAUCGACGAUUUUAUCACUGAUCAAAUGCCAAGUUUGCGAAUUUGGGACCCUACGUGUGUCCAUGGUAAGGUAUAUUUUUAUAGCAAGUCUCUAAUUUAGAUCUGUCGCACAUUUUAUUAAUUUAGAAUAUCUCACGAAAGCUAUAAUAAAGCUGGAAAAAUAAAUGAUUGUAAAGAGUUGAUAAAAGCAAAGGAUGAGGUCAUAAGACCUACAUAUUAUGGUAACCGAAGAAAAUGAUCUAUGAAACCCAUGAAUGCGAUGUAAUUUUACAUUUAAGGCUACAAAAUAUUCCACCAGGUAAGCAAAGACUAAAACUAACUACAUAUUAUGGUAACCGAAGAAAAUUAUCUCCGAGAGAGAUGAAGGAGUAAUGAAUGCCAUGAUAUUUUACAUUUAAGGCAAAGAAUAUUCCACACAUGAUGUCAUGGAACAGGUCUCCGACCAAUGCCGUAACAAUACCGAAUGAAUGGGUACUGCGUCUCCAGACAGACAGCCUGAAGCAUCACAGCUUGGAGGAGUCAACGGAUUGGCUGCUGAGAAUGAGAGAAAGUGAUAGAGUGAACACUCUGGUACAGACUGCCCAAUAUUCCACCAUUAAAGUGGAGAGGGCCACGGUGCAGCAAGAGAGACAGAUUUCCUUGUAAUUAAACAAUUGCGAAUACAACAAAAAUGACGGAGACAGACCAGAAUGCUAUUAAGCUGGAAGAAGGAAUAAUCACUUCGUCGCUCUAAAGAGAAUCAUGAACACAUGAAGCUCAUCAAGAUUCGCAGUACUAGGCUAGCAGCGGCCAAUGAGUAUCAGGCAGAGUGUUACUUGGUGCUGAAGUACUGAGAGUACGAUCUGGCUGGACUUCUGUCCCACACAAAAGUCAGAUUUUCCUUAUGUGAGACUAAAAUGGUACUGAAACAGUUGCUGAACUCUUCUACGAGAGAGAUCAGAGAAGAUUCUCUUAGGCAGAACAUAACUGCUGCAGUAGCAAAUGCUGUGGAAGGAAAAGUGUUGUGUUUCACAU
Molecule: long non-coding RNA, 1463 nt
Organism: Spodoptera frugiperda (fall armyworm)
Lineage: Eukaryota; Metazoa; Arthropoda; Insecta; Lepidoptera; Noctuidae
Exons: 5
Source: RefSeq, a predicted model, not a curated record